Molecule: ribosomal RNA, 150 nt
Filed under: uncultured eukaryote
Lineage: Eukaryota
Description: partial small subunit ribosomal RNA
Rfam family: Eukaryotic small subunit ribosomal RNA
Source: RNAcentral
CCCUGCCUUUUGUACACACCGCCCGUCGCUCCUACCAACGGGACGGGAAGGCAAAGUCGGUGGACCGCUCAUGCUACAGCUUCGGCUGCAUGGCUUGUGUGGAAAGCUGGCUGAACCUUCACGUCUAGAGGAAGGAGAAGUCGUAACAAG